Molecule: ribosomal RNA, 470 nt
Filed under: uncultured bacterium
Lineage: Bacteria
Description: bacterial SSU rRNA
Rfam family: Bacterial small subunit ribosomal RNA
Source: RNAcentral
GAUGAAUGCUGGCGGCGUGCCUAAUAUAUGCAAGUCGAGCGGUAACAGGAGUAGUUUACUACUUGCUGACGAGCGGCGGACGGCUGAGUAACGCGUGGGAACAUGCCCCAAAGUGAGGGAUAAGCACCGGAAACGGUGUCUAAUACCGCAUAUGGUCUUCGGAUUAAAGGAUUUAUCCGCUUUGGGAGUGGCCCGCGUACGAUUAGUUUGUUGGUGAGGUAAUGGCUCACCAAGACUACGAUCGUUAACUGGUCUGAGAGGAUGAUCAGUCAGACUGGAACUGAGACACGGUCCAGACUCCUACGGGAGGCAGCAGUAAGGAAUCUUCCACAAUGGGCGAAAGCCUGAUGGAGCAACGCCGCGUGCAGGAUGAAGGCCUUCGGGUCGUAAACUGCUUUUAUACAGGAAGAAACACUCGGACGUGUCCGAGCUUGACGGUACUGUAUGAAUAAGCACCGGCUAACUCCGUG